This 172-nucleotide ribosomal RNA is filed under the name uncultured bacterium. RNAcentral describes it as "partial 16S ribosomal RNA". It matches the Rfam family "Bacterial small subunit ribosomal RNA", at positions 330 to 504 of the family's 1533-position model. The record is from RNAcentral.
UCCCUACUCCUACGGGAGGCAGCAGUAGGGAAUCUUCCACAAUGGACGAAAGUCUGAUGGAGCACCGCCGCGUGAGUGAAGAAGGGUUUCGGCUCGUAAAACUCUGUUGUUAAAGAAGAACAUAUCUGAGAGUAACUGUCAGGUAUGACGGUAUACCAGAUGUCCCACCCCC